UCAUUUUCACAAUCGAUCUCGGCUCUGCAUCCCAGUCCUUGUCUAGCUUCCAUUCCUUUGGCACCUGGACUCAUUCAUCACAUACACUCCUCUGGUUAAUUCCAUAAUCACAAACUUUUUCUUUUGUCAUUUUAACCUCAAGAGUUCUUUUCUCACCUUGUCCACUCCGAGGGUGAAGACUUCAAGGUCUCCAUCAGGCUUGAUGUGGAAACGGGUGAAUGAUUUGUAAUUGGCGAUCCGAAGUGAAGAAAAUGCUUCAUCAAAGUGUAUGUGAAGCCAGUUGAUGGAUAUAUAUAAGUAACUUCCAAAAACCAAAGAUACAACAGGAGUUGAGAAGACCCAGAAGUAAAGGAAGACAGAAGCAUAAUAGAUGGCUGCUCCGCUUCGAGAAAGCGACUCCAUUCCUUCUCGACAAAUGUUAGUCCGUGUAACCGCCAUCACCUAAUGUUAUAUACUUUACUUUCAGCUGAAAAUAGAUUUCUAUUUCACUUAAAACAAAGCUAAAAUGACGAAUUACGUUACCUCGGGAAUAUCAAAUGCUGACAUAAGAUACUUGAUGCAGGCGGGAUAAAAUCCCAACGUCCACUGUUCAAUACGGUCUCGAAGGCCGGUAGGGUCUGGAAAGUGUUCGUUUUCUACUGAUUUAUACCACUGAUACAAUGUAUGAUACCCUGUGUAGCCAAGAGUUCCAAAAUCUCAAAAUCCAUUAAGGUUUGAUCAUUGAUGCAAAAAAGAUCAAUUAAGGUAGGAUCACAUUUUUUUUAAUCCAUUAGUGUUAAUGACUUUGUAAUGAGGAAAGCCACAACAUUCUAUGGAAAGGAAACUGACCGGAGGUCGCAAGGAGCUUAUGCUGAAUACAGAUUUCUA
This 867-nucleotide long non-coding RNA is filed under the name Arabidopsis lyrata. RNAcentral's name for it is "long non-coding RNA (ALYR_LNC000849)". The record is from RNAcentral. Lineage: Eukaryota; Viridiplantae; Streptophyta; Magnoliopsida; Brassicales; Brassicaceae.